UUGAGCGAUUUACUUCGGUAAAGAGCGGCGGACGGGUGAGUAACGCGUGGGUAACCUACCCUGUACACACGGAUAACAUACCGAAAGGUAUGCUAAUACGGGAUACUAUAUUUGAGAGGCAUCUCUUGAAUAUCACAGGUGAGCCAGUACAGGCUGGACCCGCGUCUGAUUAGCUAGUUGGUAAGGUAACGGCUUACCAAGGCGACGAUCAGUAGCCGACCUGCGAGGGUGAUCGGCCACAUUGGACCUGAGACACGGUCCAAACUCCUACGGGAGGCAGCAGUGGGGAAUAUUGCACAAUGGGCGAAAGCCUGAUGCAGCAACGCCGCGUGAGUGAUGAAGGCCUUCGGGUCGUAAAACUCUGUCCUCAAGGAAGAUAAUGACGGUACUUGAGGAGGAAGCCCCGGCUAACUACGUGCCAGCAGCCGCGGUAAUACGUAGGGGGCUAGCGUUAUCCGGAUUUACUGGGCGUAAAGGGUGCGUAGGCGGUCUUUCAAGUCAGGAGUGAAAGGCUUCGGCUCAACCGUAGUAAGCUCUUGAAACUGGGAGACUUGAGUGCAGGAGAGGAGAGUGGAAUUCCUAG
This 583-nucleotide ribosomal RNA is filed under the name Clostridioides difficile. Its description in RNAcentral is "bacterial SSU rRNA". It matches the Rfam family "Bacterial small subunit ribosomal RNA", at positions 62 to 673 of the family's 1533-position model. Lineage: Bacteria; Bacillati; Bacillota; Clostridia; Peptostreptococcales; Peptostreptococcaceae. The record is from RNAcentral.